UCUGACAUAAGGUGUUUAUUAUUUCACAUAAAUCUGUAAGCCCAUUUCCCCCUCUUUCUCAAAGAUAGUAUUCAUUUGACCUUGGGUGGAUAUAUUUUUUAUGUUAAGUCAAGCAGAUGAUCUCCUGGAAACAUAUAAUUGGUUGAGAAACCACAAAUUAGUCUCUAUUGAUAAUUUGAACUUAAUAUGUAACCUUGGGAGUUAUAAUGUGAUCAUGCCUUGUAGCUUUCUUUCUUUUGGUCAAGGCCCAGCUAUGCUGUAUUUCUACCUUUUACUCAUAAAUUCUUAUAUUUAAUGUUUACAUUUUUCCUUGACUUGGUUUGUGUUUCUUUGAACAAAAAAACUCAAUUUAUACAAUACAUAUGAGUUAAAUCUCUUGAUUGUAGCAAAUGUUUCAGUAUUACUUGAAUGUAAAGGUGACUACAGUGAACUGUUCAACAUUUCUAUCAAUAAUAUUUUAGUUCUUAAUUAUGAGCAGAAGAGAAUAAAAUCAGAUAGAAGGCUGAGUAGUUCAUGCAAAGCAGACCUACCUCAAAGUUGUCUCUUUUAUAAAGACUUCUUAAAUGCUCAAUAUACACAGCUAUUCAAUGUCCUCCUUUUUGGCUCUCAAAACAUUGGGUCUCAGAUAUUUAGAUGUUCUUGUCCAGUUAAGAGCAGAGAAUCUAAAUAUAUCCCAGAAUUUCCCACCUUAUCAUCUAUAUCACCAUAUUUCCAUAAAGUAAAGAAUUAUCUUCACUUAAAAAAAAUCAGGAAAAGGCUGAUCUGAAGAUGAUGAGUUAUCUCAAUUGAUUGUUCAGCCAGUUACAGAUCCAACUCCUUGCUCUAUUCUUUCCUCUCUUCUCACUACUGCACUUGGCUAGGAAAAAAAAAAUCAGAAAAAACCUUUAUUUUAGAAUUAAGUUCAGUUCCUUCAAUUAAACAUAUUUCACUUUAUGCAAAAUAUCUCUACAUUUUUCUUUUUUUAUAAUCAACUGAAACCAAAGCCCUGGUCUUAUAGCACUUGUAAUUCUUCAUUUUUAG
This 1020-nucleotide long non-coding RNA is filed under the name Homo sapiens (human). Its description in RNAcentral is "HSALNT0040384". The stretch from base 756 to 864 matches the Rfam family "Y RNA". The record is from RNAcentral. Lineage: Eukaryota; Metazoa; Chordata; Mammalia; Primates; Hominidae.